GGAUGUUACGCACUCCGGUGCAGUAGGUGGCUGCAUGCACCUUUUAGCUUUGGGUUGUAGUCUGCCAGUAAAACUCAAAGAAGAAGAAGCGAAACGUUCUGCAACAAGCUGGACUAGAUGCAAAGUAUGUCGUAAGGGAUCAUAUUAAAAGUAUUUCACUGAGUCUAUUUAAACCAUACAUUUAAACACAUUGAAUCGUCCUUUUGGAAACUCGGAUUUUGGAGCAACAUGGCGGCUACGGAAACUGGGGAUGGACACCAACGGCUGACCACCAAUCAAGUCCCGUCUGUCCAAGAAGCUGGCGCGGUAACACACUGCACGUUGUUACGGCUGUAUACAUCUAUUAUUACGUCGCUAUAUGAAGACAUUGAUUAUAACAUAACGCUACUAGAAAAGUUAUUUCAUGAGCAUAGUGGUUAGUUGUUGUGUCACUCUAAUGGCUAGCUAACCGUAGUGAGCUAACGGGCAGGCAGAGAUGUUUGCAGACUUGUAAUGCAGGUAGCGUUAGCUUAGCAAAUGGUGAGCUAGUUAUUCUCUUGUUUACUGGUCAUGUAAUUAGUCAACACGUCAUUAUAACAUGGCUGAAUCCAAGGAAGGAACUCAGACGGAGGUAACAGACGGAGAGUCAAUGGAAGCUGUUUCAGAGCCGGGAGCAUCAGUGGAUGUCGGAGACCCAGAGCUGGUUCACGCAGCUUCUCAUAGACUCUCUGAACAUGGAGAGGAGGAUGCCUUUGUUGCUGCUUCAAAAGACAUGGAAAGUAAAGAAAUUGAACAUAAAGAAACUUUCUCCCCAGAAGAGACUGUCAACAGAGUUUUGGUUCACGGUGGUGAGCCAAGUAGCACCUCAGAGUCAGAAAGAGAAGAAGGUCCUGAGGUGAAAACUGAGGAAGAGUUUGAGUUGAAUGAAGACAAUGUGCCAGUAAAGGACAACAGCUUAGAAGAAAAUCCUGCAGGACCGAAUGUGAGCGAGGAAACAAAUAUGCACAAGACUUCUGAAGAAAUAACAAACACAGACAUAAAGAUGGACCCAGACAUUGACACUACAGAGGACAUCGACACACAGCAGGAGAAGGAGUCUCCUGGCAGUAAAUUGAGGGUUUCUACAGUGGACGACCUUGAUGAGAUGAUGGACAUUGGUACAGUGGAUCAGGUGGAACAGGAAGCUCAGAUGAAAGAGGAGCAAGAGAAUCAUUUGAUGGACGUGGAUUGCAGCCGUUCACCUGCCAUUUUAAAUACAGGUAAAGUAAAGCACAAGUUUUUAUCACAAAGGUUUUCUGUUUCAUGACACAGAGAAACAUCAUCUUUCUGUGAAGGUAAAUAAAGCACUGCUCUAUAGCAUCCCACUCAUUUCUGUUUAAAAAAAUUCCCUGACAGUCUCAGUGGCAGAGGACAGUAACUCUGUUGAGGAGGAAGUCGAUGUGAAACCCCCUGUAUUACCACUACCUGCAGAGGAGGAGCAGGAAGUGAAGGAAGUGAAAGUGGCUUUAGAGUUGAUUCGGUCCAGCUCAUCUCUGUCGUCUGAAGCCACGGCCAGUACAGGUGAGCGACCUCAGAGCAAUGGUUAAGUGUUUUACACCAGUGUGUGAUUAAAGUAGGAAAUUCUCAUCUCCCUUACAGGUUUACCUACCAGUCAAGUUUUUAGAUGACUUAAAACGGAGGAUAGCUACCAGAUUUUUGAG
Long non-coding RNA from Cottoperca gobio, 1679 nucleotides. NCBI's taxonomy places the organism in Eukaryota, Metazoa, Chordata, Actinopteri, Perciformes, Bovichtidae. The record is from Ensembl.